This 253-nucleotide ribosomal RNA is filed under the name uncultured bacterium. Its description in RNAcentral is "partial 16S ribosomal RNA". It matches the Rfam family "Bacterial small subunit ribosomal RNA", at positions 524 to 776 of the family's 1533-position model. The record is from RNAcentral.
UACGUAGGGGGCGAGCGUUGUCCGGAAUUAUUGGGCGUAAAGAGCGUGUAGGCUGUUCGGUAAGUCUGCCGUGAAAACCUGAGGCUCAACCUCGGGCGUGCGGUGGAUACUGCCGGGCUAGAGGAAGGUAGAGGCGAGUGGAAUUCCCGGUGUAGCGGUGAAAUGCGCAGAUAUCGGGAGGAACACCAAUGGCGAAGGCAGCUCGCUGGGACGUUACUGACGCUGAGACGCGAAAGCGUGGGGAGCAAACAGG